This is a long non-coding RNA of Macaca fascicularis (crab-eating macaque), 5213 nucleotides long. The record is from Ensembl. Lineage: Eukaryota; Metazoa; Chordata; Mammalia; Primates; Cercopithecidae.
UUUUUUUUUUUUUUUUUUGGACAGGUUCUGGCUGUGUCACGCAGGUUGGAGUACAGUGUCAUGAUCUUGGCUCACCGCAACCUCCGCCUCCUGGGCUCAAGAGAUCCUCACACCUCAGCCUCCCAAGUAGCUGGGACUACAGGCACACAACAGCAUGCCCGGGUAGUUUUUAGUAGGGAUGGAGUUUUGCCAUGUUGCCCAUGCUGGUCUUAAACUCCUGAGCUCAAGCAAACCGCCUACCUCGGGCUCCUAAAGUGCUGGGAUUGCAGGCAUGAGCCACUGCGCCUGGCCCAAAGUGAUCUUUUUGAGGGCUCAUGAGUUGACUGAGGGUUGGCAGCCCCUGGGUGGCUUCGGGAUGGGAGCUGGUCACUGAAAACACCAAGUAGGAUUACAGGGUUAGAGUUUGAGCCCCAUCCCCUGAUCACUGAAGAAGGAAAAGGGGCUUAAGGUUAAAUUGAUAACUAAUGGCCAGUGACUUAAUCAAUCAUGCCUAUAUAAUGGAGUCUCUAUAGAAACACAAAAGGACGUGGUUCAGAGAGUUCUCUGGUGUAAACCAAAAUGUAUGAGAGACAGGUCUCAAUCCAUCUGGAAGUUUAUUUUGCCAAGGGUAAGGACAUGCCAGGAAAAAAGGAACACAAAUCCACAGGAACAAUCUGUGGUCCAUGCCUUUUUCCAAAGACAAUUUUGAAGCCUUCAAUAUUUAAAGGUAUGGUCACAUUACUGAAUCCACAUGUUGUAAGAGAAACGGAACAGGUAGGGGAGUAGUCAAUUAUCUAUUUGUCUCACGUUCAGUAAAUCGGCACUUAGGGUGAGCACAGAACAGCUACCUGUGGAGAUAUUUAACAUUUUAUCUGUAGCUAUCUGCUUAGGAACAAAAGGAAAGCCAGUUUUUUGCAUGAUCAGGUUUUAGCUUAGUUUUUUCCUUUUUGCGUAGUGAAUUGGGGUCCUGAGAUUUUCUUUUCUUUUCAUAUUGGAUUGCUGAACAUGUGGAGGUUCCUGGAGGGUGGCACAUCCAGAGAGAGCAUGGACGCUCCGCAUCCCUUCCCCCAUACCUCACCCUAUGCAUCUCCAUCUGUAUCCUUUGUAAUAUCUUUUAUAAUAAACUGGUAAAAGUGUUUCCCUGAGUUCUUUGAGCUGCUCUAGCAAAUUAAACGAAAAGGUCAUGGGAUCCCUGGUUUGCAGCCAAUCGGUCAGAAGUACAGGUAGAAAAACUUAAGGCUUAGGAUAGACAUUGGAAGUGGGGGGCAGUCUUAUGGGACUGAGUCCUCAAUCUGUGGGAUCUUAUGCUAUCUCAGGUGGAUAGUGUCAGAAUUAAAUUCAAGACACCCAGCUGGUGUCCACUGCAGAAUGUCCCCAACCCGGACACACACACACACACACACACACACACACACACACACACACACAGAGAAAUCUAAUCACAGAGGUCUUAUGUGUUGACUGUUGUGGUGUGAGAGCAGUCAAAGUUUUUCCACAUUCAAUAGGGCAUAGGAUUAAUAACGUUGCUGUGUAAAAUGUCACAUGCCAGUUAAAGAAAGACGAUCAUCUCAAUAAGAAAAUAUGCAAAUAAUCUUCAUAAGAAGUAUAAUGACCAAUAAACAUAAGAAAGUUAAUCGUUCGUGAUCAAAGUAAGGCAUAUUGAAUAAAAAAUAAAAUGUCCUUUACACCCUAUUAAAUAGAAAAACAUUUAAAGGAAUAUAUUUAGCAGUAGCAAUGACGUGCUGCAAUUGACAGGUAUAUACAUUAUCCAGUCUUUCUUUUUUAUUUAUUUAUUUUUUUGUUUGUUUGUUUGAGACGGAGUCUCACGCUGUUGCCCAGGCUGGAGCUUUGUGUUCGAUAAUUUUGCCCAACAGUAAGCUAAUGUAAGUGUCCUGAGCAUGUUUAAGGUAGGCCAGGCCAAGCAAUUAUGUUCCGUAGGCUAAGUAUAUUAAAGGCAUUUUCAACUACAAUAUUUUCCAUUUCAGAUGGAUUUAUUGGGACAUAAUCCCAAUGUCAGGGGAUCAUCUGUAUUAAUUUUGCCAUUUUCUUCAAAAGCAAAGGAACCAAGUGGCCUCAUGCAAAAAAGACUUGAGGUGGCCAUGCCAAGACCCUGGAGCCCUGAGAGUUUCUAGAUUAUUCUCCAGCAUCCUCAGCAUAUCUCCUACUUGUAUUCCAUUUCAAGGGCUCUUCUUUCCCCUUGGACUCAGCAUUGAUGGUCCUCAAAUCUGUGCCUUCAGACUUUAGCCACAAUGCCAGCUGCGAACUUUGAAACCACCCUUCUGAUUUUCCACAAUCACGGGUCCACAUACCUAAAAUGAACAUCAUUAUCCCUAUUGAACUAAAUUCCCGUUCUGACCCUCAUUCCAACCCUGGCCCUGCUCAGAAGGUUUUACUUUAUUACGAGAGAAUCAUUUCUCAUUUUUAAAUAAGGAAAUAAAAAUUCAAGCUUUUCCGUUAAGGAGAAAAUUCAGACAAUGAUGAGAUUCAGAAUGAGGAGAGAUCAAAGGUAAAGAGACCAAUUAGGAGGUCUUCUUUGGAGUAGUGUCAAUUUCUUAAUUAGCUUGGAAGCCCCAACACCUAGCACAACAUCUAAAAUGUCAUGAGAGUUCACCAAAGUGAAUCAAAUAGAACAUUCUGCAAUAAUCAAUGAAGGCAAUUGAAUCGGCAUCGCAGAAAUAUUUGUUUUAUUAGUGAUUAGCAUGUAAUAUAGUCUGCUUUUUUGUUUUAUUUCAGAGCAUAUAAUUAUGAGCACCACAAGACAUACCGGUUUAGAGCUCUGGACUUUCAUGUUUUGCCACAUAUCAGCUAUGCAACUGUAGGUAAAUCUACCAACUUCUCCUUACUUGUAAAGAUAUAUUUGGCAGGAGGUCAACAAUUUUUUAGAUAAAUGAAUGAAUGCUUCAUGUCAUGAAACAUAUUAAGGAAGCUCCAAAGUGUGGAAGCUCUGUUUUUUAUCCACCCUCUAAUUCCACCAGCUUUCCUAAUAAUUUAUUCAUGGUGGUUUUUUAUUUAUUUAUUUAUUUUGAGACGGAGUUUUGCUCUUGUUGCCCAGGCUGGAAUGCAAUGGUGCAAUCUCAGCUCACCGCAACCUCCACCUCCUCCCAGGUUCAAGUGAUUCUUCUGCCUCAGCCUUCCCAAGUAGCUGGGAUUAUAGGCAUGUGCCACCAAGCCUGGCUAAUUUUGUAUUUUUAGUAGAGAUGGGGUUUCUCCGUGUGGGUAAGGCUGGUCUCAAACUCCCGACCUUAGGUGAUCCGCCCACCUCGGCCUCCCAAAGUGCUGGGAUUACAGGCGCCAGCCACUGCACCCAGCCUCAUGGUUUUGUUUUUAUUUUGGUUUACAACCAUUAGAUUCAGACUUUCCUAGAGAAAGAAUCUAAGUAUUAGGACUCAAAAUCUAGUAAUCACUGAUAAAAGUCAUUUGGAUGAGAAAGGAAAAGAAACUUGGAUCUAAGGAAUGUGAGCCUCCUCUAAAUUACCUGGCUCAGAGAGCCCUUGAAAUGAGACAACAGUCAUGUCCCACUCACCCACCUUGAGCUACAUAAUCACCUCUUGAAGCUGCCUGCUGUAUGGACUCUAGACUGACUAACACAAGUAGCUAUCAAUUAAUCUAACAGUGCCACAUGCUGAACACCAUAGCUCAUACCCUGUAAUUCAACAAUGCAUAGCCAAUCACUAACCAAUGUUAUUUCUAUAAACCAAUGAGAAUUCCUGACAAACAACUUUGCAUCAGUUCACUCCUGGUUCCCCUUUCCACCUUUAAAAACCUGCUUGGAAAAAAAAGCCAAAUGGAGCACACACCCAAGGUUACUUGGAGAACGUGGCAGGUUAUGGAAGCUUCUUUGUAAAUCCACCCAUCCCACUCUGUUAAAGGAUCUCCCAACUUGCAUUUCUUAUGACCUCACAUGUCUCGGAUGUGGACUGGCUCUAGGCAAAAUUGUAAAGCAAGCCCUUUAGAUUCCUCCUCCACCUCUCACUGCUCCCAGCAAAACUGCACUGGACAGUAAAUCUGGGUCUGGUCCUGCUGUUGCCAUUUACUCUCUGACAGUUGGCAUAUUUGUGGCUGUCCCGUAAAAUGGCAUGACAAUAUCUACCUCACAAGGCUGUGGUGAGAACGAGAAAAUACAUGAGGAGUAUUUGGUCAACUUCAGGUCAGCACACAGCACUUCUUAGAUCCAGAUGUCCCCUGUUUCCCUGACCCAACAAGGUGGCCAAUGGAACAGAUCCCACCACGGGUGAGUUUUCUUAGGCACAUUUUUUUUUUUCAAUUAGUUGCCAAUAUUGAAACAUAAAGAAGUCUCACAUAUUGACAAAAAUGAGAUUUUCAGCUUCCCUUGAAAAACUGGAGAUCUGGCAACACUGGCCAGCGCCCUCCCCUGGUAACAAUCAUCUGGAGUGGGAAGCUCCGGCUGCCUAGUUCGCCACCGUCCCUUUGGUUAAAGGAUAAUUUUGAAAUGAAGGUAAAAAUUGCGGCUCUCAAACAGACACAAAAGAAGAGCACAUGCCAAAAAUUUUAUUUAAUCUUUUAGUGAGGAAUGCCCAAGGAGAAUCCAAAGAUCAAAAUUACUGAAAUAAAUGUGCUAAUCGAAGCAAAACUGGGGAAGGAGGUCGGCUGAAUCUACGCUAAGACACAAUUUACACAUCUAUAGACAAGAAUUAUUUUGCUCUGCUAUCAGUUACCUACAGCUCACAGAGUUGUGAGAUAGCUCCCAUAGAAUCAAAAUCACAUAGCCAGGAAGGAAGUGUCUUCGCCCAGAGUCUAGAUUCCAGACAAUGCAGUUUUCCACUGAAGUACAACAGGAUCUCCCCCUGCACUUCCAUUUCCAAGUCCUAUUUGUGGACUGUCUAGCCCCAGAAAAGAUGUGUUUUUCCCCAAUCAGAUGCUAUAAAGCUGUCACGUCUCGUUUUUUAUUCAGUGUAUUCCAUUAUAAAAUGUCGAGGUGAGACUAAUCUCAAUUCCCUUAUGAUUCCUUAAUUCAAAUUUCUUACUACUCCUUCCACCCAAUUCCCCCUGCACCCCCUACAUCCAUAAAUCAAUCCUCAUUAUUUGGCCAUUCAGGUCCUUAUCAGUGAGGUACAGCUAGGUUUAAUUUGUGCUAAGGUGUUAAUGGGCAAUGUUUUAUUAUAGAUACUUUAUCCUCAACAUCUACUUCUACAGCUUCAGUUACCAUCUCAAACCAUCACUUUCCUGAAAGUAGAACCAGAUUCAGCUUUAAACACCUGCUGUCAAGAAGGCCC